Molecule: ribosomal RNA, 424 nt
Filed under: Verrucomicrobiota bacterium
Lineage: Bacteria; Pseudomonadati; Verrucomicrobiota
Description: Verrucomicrobia bacterium partial 16S ribosomal RNA
Rfam family: Bacterial small subunit ribosomal RNA
Source: RNAcentral
UGAGGAAUAUUGGUCAAUGGACGCAAGUCUGAACCAGCCAAGUAGCGUGCAGGAUGACGGCCCUAUGGGUUGUAAACUGCUUUUAUAUGGGGAUAAAGUGGGGAACGUGUUCCCUUUUGCAGGUACCAUAUGAAUAAUGACCGGCUAAUUCCGUGCCAGCAGCCGCGGUAAUACGGAAGGUUCGGGCGUUAUCCGGAUUUAUUGGGUUUAAAGGGAGCGUAGGCCGUUUGGUAAGCGUGUUGUGAAAUGUAGGAGCUCAACUUCUAGAUUGCAGCGCGAACUGUCAGACUUGAGUGCGCACAACGUAGGCGGAAUUCAUGGUGUAGCGGUGAAAUGCUUAGAUAUCAUGAAGAACUCCGAUUGCGAAGGCAGCUUACGGGAGCGCAACUGACGCUGAAGCUCGAAGGUGCGGGUAUCGAACAGG